Molecule: long non-coding RNA, 538 nt
Organism: Rosa chinensis
Lineage: Eukaryota; Viridiplantae; Streptophyta; Magnoliopsida; Rosales; Rosaceae
Exons: 3
Source: RefSeq, a predicted model, not a curated record
AAACUGCUCUACAGUUCACAGAAGCUCUUGCUUAGCUAUACACGCAGUGAUUCCGAGAGAGAAUUUGAGAAGUUUAGAGAUCCAGAUCGAAUACCCCUUUCUCUUUGGGUGAAUGUAAUAAUGGAGAGUUUUAUCUCCGUUUCCUCUGAAUCAAAUUCAGAGGAGAUCAAUCGUUCUUCAUCUUAUAUGCCGAAGAAGAUUCCUGGGGAGUCCAUUGGCCAAAUGGAAAUAAUUUCUGCCUUCCGGCGGUGUCCACUGGCUUGGGGGCGUCCAUUGCGUUGAGGGCUCCUCAUCAUCAUUCACCUUCUCGGUUACCCUGUCCCUCACCAAAGUAAUUGAAACAGCUUGAUAAUGGCAACUUCCAAUUGGGAAAGGUUAGGGUACCCUCAGAAUCGCAGUGGCAUCGCAGUAGCUGAAUAGCUAAAGAUCCGUCUGUUACACAGUUACACUGUAUGUAUGAUCGUGAUGAAUAAUAUGUAUUGGUUGUAACCAUAACCCAUGGGUGCAAAAGAACCAUGCAAAACAGUUCAACUCCAGU